UUUAUUCUUUUAUCCUCUGACAUAUUUCUCCUCACAUGUAUUUGCUUGUAUUCUUCAGAGUUGUUUAGUUUCCAUGACCUAUUUAUUUUGGUUUCUGUUGCCAUUUGGGACCUUAGUUGUAUCUUUAAUGGUCUGUUUUUUCCUUCCUCAUUUCUUCCCAAUUUAGUUAUUUCAUCUACUUCUUCCUCAAACUUUUCCUCCUCUUUAGCAUUCAUAUUUCUCAAUAUAAUUUUCACCGUACUCCUCUCGUAACUCUGAGUCUUCACUGUUUUUUUUUUCCUCUUUGACACCAGACACGCUGACACAUUUUUAUUUCUUUUCUGCCAUGUCCCUCACCAUUGUUUCUCUAUUUUUCAGUAGAUUCACAACUUUUUUUCUAUAUCUUGCCUCUGCCCCUCUUGCUGUUGUUCUAGGAUUUCUCUAAAGCUCGUGUUUUCCUUUUUUUUUUUUCACUUCUCCACUCCUUCAAUUCAUCAUUGACCAUAUGCUUAAUCUUUUCCUCUACCUUUACAGCCACACUCUGCUGAUCAUUUCCUAUCUUCUCUGCUACUUCUCUUUUAGUCAUUUCUUCCAUCUUCUCCAUGUCUUCGUUUGUCCCCAUCACACUAACCUCUUUCCAUUUUAAAAAUUUGUAUAUCAUGUUUUUUUUUAAAUUUUCCAUCCUCAGUUGCGCUAUUUCUGUGUGGCUUUCCAGCUGUUCCUUAGUCAAUCCAACUAUUUCUUCCCUCAACUUCUCUACCAUUUUCUUUGUCUCCUCGUCUCUUCUCCUUUCCUCAUCAUCUCUUUUUUUUACCUCGGUCAGUGCGUGUGCGUGCGUGACAGUGUGUGUGUGUGUGUGUGUGUGUGUGUGUGUGUAUAAUUUUUUUUUUACAUUUCCAAAUUUUAUAUCAAUUUUGUUGCAUGCCUGUUUGUAAUCUGUUCCACCGAGGUAAUACUUCAGAUAGUAAGGUGGAAGGAAAACACAACUUGAGCAAAACACAUCAACACUUUAUUUGGUGUCAUCUUGUUAUGGGAAAGAUAUUUUGCAUGGACAGUCUUGCUAUCAGGACAGUGUUUGCUAAUGGUAGAGUUUUUUUUACAUUGACAAUCUUGCUAUCAGGAUUGCUAAUAGAAGUCUUUUACAUUGACAAUCUUGCUAUCAGGAUUGCUAAUAGAAGUCUUUUACAUUGACAAUCUUACGAUCAGGAUUGCUAAUAGAAGUCUUUUACAUUGACAAUCUUGUUAUCAGGACUGUUUGCGAAUGGAAGUUUUUUAACGCUGACAAUCUUGCCAUCAGGACUGUUUGCUAACACGUGAAUCUUUCUGCAUUGGUCUUCCUGUUUUCGGGACGGCGCUUGCUGUGUGGCUGAGUUGUUUUUUGACCCGUUGUUCAGUGCGCUGUUAGUUUGUUUUGUUGAUUACAUUAUAUAUAUUGUUUUACGACUUAACUGUGAAAAUACAACACUUCUAGCUAACUCCAUCCCAAGAAGGGGAAUUACAGACCCGAACCAGCCACAUGACUUUAUAAAUACUAAUACGACGUGUAAAAAUCUGGCAUAUAGAUGAGCGAUGGAUAAAUUCUGCAGGUUGAGAGUAGAGAUCUUCCUCGGGCCAAAGAAAAUAGUGGCAUUAAAAGUUCUACAAGGGUAACAGAAGACAAAAAGAGAAUAUCUAUUUAGUUUCAGAGGCGACAAGAAGGAUGGAGGCGAUUGUCAUUCUGAACCCCUUGCCAUGUUAGCGUGUUACUUGUGUGCAUAUGUUAAACUGACGAAGAAAAAGGUUUGUUGUGAGUGGAAAUGAUUUUUUUUCUUGAGUAAUGCCAUUGCGUCGUAUUAACUGUUUUCGUAUUUUUUUCUUACAGUAAAGAAAACAGAUGAAGGGCAAAAAAAUGAAAACAAUAAUGAAAAAAAAGCCCUCAAUGUAAGCAUCAGUAUUUAUAAAUUGAAUAGGAUGGCUUGUUAGAUGGAGAGAGAAGCAGUUUACAGUAUUGAGAAUGUCUGUUAGGAUUGAUUGGAAAUGACGUUGUUAGUCGUUGUAGACUGAAUGGGGUGAAUUGAAAAGGAAAUCUUGUUGAAAAAACAGGUAGGUUGGUCUUGAAAAUGUGUUGGGAUUGGUUAAAAAUGACGUUGUUAGUUAAUGAGUAAGUCCACUCUGCUAUGUUGUCUUGAGAACGUUCGUAUUUGUAGACUGAAUGGGGCGACUUAAAAAAAAAAAACAACUUGUAGAAAAAAAAAGUAUAUAGGUAAUGGUCUUGAAAAUGCGUUGGGAUUGGUUAAAAAUGACGUUGUUAGUUAAUGAGUAAGUCCACUCUGCUAUGUUGUCUUGAGAACGUUCGUAUUUGUAGACUGAAUGGGGCGACUUAAAAAAAAAAAUUGUAGAAAAAAAAAGUAUAUAGGUAACGGUCUUGAAAAUGUGUUGGGGUUGGUUGAAAAUGUCGUUGUUAGUUAAUAAGUAAGUCCACUCUGCUAUGUUGUCAUGAGAACGUUCGUAUUUGUAGGCUGAACGGAGGAACUUGAAAAUAAAAAAGCUUGGAAGGAAAAAAAAGUUAAGUCUUGAAAAUAUUUGUAGAAAGUGAUCGAUAGGAAGUUAAAUUGUUUUAAGUCCAGUGUGCUGUGUUGUCGUCUUCGCACGGUGGGUAUUCAGGGCCAAAGCAAAGGGACACAAGGCUUAUAUGUAAAUGUCCUUAGAUGCUACGUACCAAAUAUAUAGAUAGAUAUUAUAUUUUUUUUUACGACAUAAUCACUUCUCAUUCAUGAAUACGAGUUGGCACACGUACAUGUUUAUAUAAAUCUAUGUACACACACACACACACACACACACACACACACACACACACACACACACACACACACUCGUCCAUGGAUAUGUGUCUUGGUUCUUGUAAGUUAGCGCGGUCAAAACUAAGGUCAUGAGAUACCUUCGGUCAACGCACUAAACUAGGCGGCUCUAAAAAACGCCAAACUUAUACCUUAAGUUAAUACAUAUAUAUAAAAGCCACUGUAUUGAUUGUCUUUGUACUCGGUUCCGUGCUAUCAAUGUGCUUUCCUCCUCCUCCCCCCCUACUCUCUCUCUCUCUCUCUCUCUCUCUCUCUCUCUCUCUCUCUCUCUCUCUCUCUCUCUCUCUCUCUCUCUCUCUCUCUCUCUCUCUCUCUCUCUCUCUCUCUCUCUCUCUCUCUCUCAAGAUAGACACGGACACGUAAAGAUAGAGACAGGCCUAAAAAAAAGAAAGAUAUUCGGCACUCGUACAGAACACGUACCAUCACGGUCCACAUUCUUAAACUAUUCGGCGCCCAAACACACACAUUUGACAAGGCCUUCGUAGGAGUUGAGGGGCGUUAGAGGUAGUAUUAUGGCAGUUCUAUUGCGUUUAAUGCAUGGGUAGUUUUUAUGGUGGUAGUUUGGUGGAACCUCUGAACCAUGAACGGAAAGGAAAAAAAAAACACUCCUGGGAACGGGUUAUAUUAUUUAUGGUGUGUUAUGGCAGUUCUAUGAUGCUAUAUGCAUGGGUAGUUUUUAUGGUGGUAGUUUGACGGAGCCUCUGAACCAUAAACGUGAAAGGAAAAACAGUCUUGGGAAUGGGUUAAACCUCUUUCUUUUUUAGCCUUUAGAAAUAGUAAUUGAUGGGCGAGUCGGAAGCGUCUAAAAAUAUUUGCCGAUUAUAUAUUUUUUUUCUGCCUGUACAUUCUUAAUUUCUUAUACCUAUAGAAAUGUAUAUCCUUGCAUUUUUAGUUUAAGAAAGACAAACACACACACACACACACACACACACACACACACACACACACACACACACACACACACACACACACACACACACACAAACAAACAAACAUAUACACACACAA
Molecule: long non-coding RNA, 3824 nt
Organism: Eriocheir sinensis (Chinese mitten crab)
Lineage: Eukaryota; Metazoa; Arthropoda; Malacostraca; Decapoda; Varunidae
Exons: 2
Source: RefSeq, a predicted model, not a curated record